Molecule: long non-coding RNA, 237 nt
Filed under: Spirodela polyrhiza (greater duckweed)
Lineage: Eukaryota; Viridiplantae; Streptophyta; Magnoliopsida; Alismatales; Araceae
Description: long non-coding RNA (SPOL_LNC002214)
Source: RNAcentral
GGAUAAAAUGCUUAGGAGCUUGAAAAAUUGUAAUUUCCUGGGGUCGUUGCGAAACGAGGUAUUAACGAAAGCUUUCUGAAUCUGGAUGAAGUCGUUGUCCACAGUCCGUGCUCUCUACUCUGAAAUACGAGCGGUCAUUGAACAGCAGAUGAUCAGCUUGAUCAGGAAGCAAGGAUGGAGAAAAGAGAGGUGUGGGCGAAUUCGGGAUGGAUAUAUGAACUGUGAAGCAUAUUUACG